UAAGGAAUAUUGGUCAAUGGGCGGAAGCCUGAACCAGCCAUGCCGCGUGCAGGAAGACGGCCCUACGGGUUGUAAACUGCUUUUAUACGGGAAUAAACCUUCUUUCGUGAAAGAAGCUGAAUGUACUGUAAGAAUAAGGAUCGGCUAACUCCGUGCCAGCAGCCGCGGUAAUACGGAGGAUCCAAGCGUUAUCCGGAUUUAUUGGGUUUAAAGGGUGCGUAGGUGGCCUGGUAAGUCAGGGGUGAAAGACGGUCGCUUAACGAUCGCAGUGCCUUUGAUACUGCCGGGCUUGAAUGAACUAGAGGUAGGCGGAAUGUGACAAGUAGCGGUGAAAUGCAUAGAUAUGUCACAGAACACCGAUUGCGAAGGCAGCUUACUAUGGUUUUAUUGACACUGAGGCACGAAAGCGUGGGGAUCAAACA
RNAcentral lists this ribosomal RNA (422 nucleotides) under uncultured Mucilaginibacter sp. RNAcentral describes it as "bacterial SSU rRNA". It matches the Rfam family "Bacterial small subunit ribosomal RNA", at positions 355 to 774 of the family's 1533-position model. Lineage: Bacteria; Pseudomonadati; Bacteroidota; Sphingobacteriia; Sphingobacteriales; Sphingobacteriaceae. The record is from RNAcentral.